GCCCAGGUGCUGGAGUUGUCCGGCGUCGCUGCUGCCGACGCUGCCAAGCAGGCCGAGGACGUGGUCAAGUUCGAAACCCGCCUGGCCA
Molecule: transfer RNA, 88 nt
Filed under: Acinetobacter baumannii
Lineage: Bacteria; Pseudomonadati; Pseudomonadota; Gammaproteobacteria; Moraxellales; Moraxellaceae
Description: tRNA-Ser(gct)
Source: RNAcentral